UGUCCUUUUGUAUCUAGGUAAUUUAUUGCUCUUACUAUAGUGACUAAGUUUUCUACAAGUUUUAGCAAGUAUCAGAAUUUCCUUCCUUGUUUAAGAACACAACUGUUCUACCACUUUCCUGGCCUGACGCCACCUCACAGCUGGUACCAACCAUCUGCAUGCCGGGGGGUGUUCGUGUUCAAUGCAGAUGAGUAAUGCAGAAUUGGGGGGAUCCUGAUGGAGACCCUGUGACGAGCUCAGGCUCCAUCUACUCUUUGUUUUUAUGAUGGUCUCUUUGCCAGUUUCCACCAUUGUGAUGCUCACCCCGUUUUCUAAGUGAUUUCCCAGACACUACACGAUGUCAUGAAAUCUGUGUGACCCCCGUUGUGUGCUAAAUGUAUCAAUCAUGUCCUUGUAGAGAAUGCUGAUUGGGCUGGAAGGUUCAUUUGCUUUCAAGCCGUACUGUGCUUUUGCUUAUUGGGAGCCCCGGGCAUGAGGCUGUCUCUUCCAUUCCUUCCUUCCCAGCCCCGCUCCAGCUCCCAGGCCAUCAUCCCUCUUCGUCACUUCCCUCCGGUGUAAAAGAGACUGCAAAGCUGAAACAAGAGCCAGUGUCCUUUGGAGGAGGUGAUGCUCCCCCUUCCCUGUGAGCCAGGGCUGGUCCUGCCUCCACACCAGAGCGCGGUGCCUCCUCUCUGGUGCUUCAGCCCUGGGUCCUCUCGUCCCCGUUGUGGCGACCACUUGGCUUCCACUUUCCCUUUUCUUCAUGUGAAAUCAGAGUCAGCCCUUUAGAUCACCUUUUCCUUGUGUCCCGGGGCGGUCACCCCAUUCUCUGACGCCAGAAUUCCUACAUGGCCUCAAAACUUCUCACCAUGAAUCAGGGAUCUUCACUUCUUGAAAAUAUUCCUGUGGGACAGAGGCCUGCAGGCUGGUUCACUGUUUUGUCUUGGAUUUGGAAAAUGAAGGCUGUCACCUUUGGAGACAUUGGCUUUUGCAAGUAGAAAUGACCAGGCCUCAGGCAUGCUAAUAGAGACCCUGAUGAUGACGUGGACAAAGCUCAAGUUGAACAAGAUGCUCAGUCUUCACACACAUAAGGAUUGUUCCAUUUUUUUCUUCUAUGAUGGAAUUAUAAAUGUCUCCGGGGUUUUAUAUUCUACUUUCAUCAUUUAACAUUUAGAAACAGCGGUUCUGGUUUGGGGAAGUGACCCGAGGAAACGCGCCGAGACACGCAGGGAAGCUGGUGUGUGGAAGCCUCGCCCGCCCCUUCUCACAGCAGCGCGCGGCUGGGAACAACCCGGAUGAACACCCCAGGGCGGGGUCCAGUAGACUGCGGUGUGGACACGACUGAAAUGUGGCCGUGACAGGGAUCAUCCUUUCCCAGGCAUCACAGGGGGAGACAGAAAGGAAGACGGGCUUGAGGGGCAUGAACGUUGUCUGCUCCCCUCCGAGGCCCGAAGACGAAGGCAGAUGCUUUCCCGGAGGGGCUGAGGAACAGCUCAGGGUUUCUGGACGCCGGCGCCGCCACUUAGAUGGGCCGCAAGUGCCUUUUGUUCGUGGCUUGUCCUGUAACGGAGAAAACAGGGAACAAGUUGGGGAGACCACAGUGGGGUCAAGAAUGUUCGUCUCUUGCGCCCACAGACGCCCACGGACACAGGCCACGGACAUUCACAGUAACAGGAUGCGGCCUUUCCUCAUCAACACAGUGUGUUCACCUGUGAAACGGAGAAUCAGGGAAUGGCAUUGUUUGUAUUUCCUAAACACGCCAAGGGGAUGAACACAGACAUCAACUAAAUCAGAGGGGCUGCUGCUCACUCUUUGGUUGCCUUGAGGUUUUUUUAACAUGUGCUGAGAUAGUUAUAUUUUUUUCAGAAGGAAGAAAGGGCAUGUGUGUGAAAUGCCUGGGGUACAGCAUAUAAGGGAAGUUUGCAAGACAGGCCUGAUCACUUCACUUGCAAAAGCCACCGUCGCCAAAGGGAGACCGUCCUCGGCCAGAUCAAAGAAGAAACAGAAUCUAAAGGGAGUUUUCAGAUGAAACGUGCCGGCUUGUGUUCAUC
Molecule: long non-coding RNA, 2030 nt
Organism: Talpa occidentalis (Iberian mole)
Lineage: Eukaryota; Metazoa; Chordata; Mammalia; Eulipotyphla; Talpidae
Exons: 7
Source: RefSeq, a predicted model, not a curated record